GCGAGAAAGACGAGAUAAAGGCACAGUAGUGGAAGGCGUGAGCAAAGUAGAGGAGAAGCAGAGUGACAAGGAGUCGAGGACUGGAGAGGAUCAUUGUACGGACUCUAACGGGUCUGAUGUUUCAGACGAAUUGGUAUCCUUGGUAACUGCAUGGGCCUCAUUUGUAAAGCCGAGUGCUGGAUGGUAUUAGGCUAAGAGCGCUCAGCACAGCGGACCGGUGUGACUGCUCAGAAGAAAUACAGGCACGCUGAGUGCGAGCCAAAGAUAGCCUAACAAAGCAGAAAAAAGAAACACGUGCCUCAUUAGGAUGGAUAGGUUAACUAUGUUGUUUAUUCGAUGUAAAUAAUCCGGUAAGUGAGACGGUAUUCAUGAGGGGAUGCUGGAGGGAGCAGCUAUGAUGGACAGGCUGCUUUCAAAGAGGCAGAAGCAAAUGAUCUCUUCACCGUGAAUAGCUUCAGCUCCACUUAUCCUUAUGUCCACACAGCAUGAAUACCAGUCCGUCUCUUUACCAACCUGUUAUCACAGAGACUCCCAGCACACUUCAGUGUGACAAGAGGCAGUGGAAGAUGGACGUGGGAGUCCGUGUAGGCACAGUUUACGCCAAUCUGUCCACUGCAAUGUGGAGCAAGUCAGUGCCAACCUGACACAGCGACAUCAAUCCACAGCUCGGGUCUCCUGACGCCGAUGACUACCAGGACAGGAGUGUUGGGAGACUGAUUUUGUGAAUGUGGAGCCACUCGGCUACAUGCAAGUAUCCGCCCACACAGCUCCAGCUAGAAGCUUCUCUCCAUCUGUGGCAGCUUUGAAAUGCGACUCCAGCAUUUGCCUGUUGUUUUUUUUUUUUUUUUCUUCAUCAUGCUAAUUGAUACAAACCAAAUUAACUGCUUCACAAUUCCACUCAUGUUCAUUAUUCUACAACAUAACUACUUUUGCCAUUUACGUUGCAAAAUUUUACCCAAGAGCCUGCGCGCAUAAGUAACAACAGAGCGAAGGACGAAAAUGAGAAGAGCAUGACUUCAAAAUGAGACGUCAUUUACAUCAGGAAAGGGUUAUUUCACUCAAAUUAAGGAAACACAUCUUUUGAUUCACAGCAGCUUCAGUGGUGGGAUCGCUUCACUUUCAAGCUCAAAGAACAACAACUCGGAAGUGAGAGAAAAUUUGCCAAGCUGACGUCGUAUGAUGCUGAAACAUCGCGGACGAAAGUAAAUACCGGGUUGACGUGAGUGGAGAAGACUGUGUGCAUGCGGCGGAACAAGGCUCACUUCCUGACAGAUGCUGAGAGAAAAGUGCACUCCUGGGCAGGAAGUAGCUGGCAUUCAUGUGAAACCGUGUUUCUGUUUGGGGAGCAAGCAGACAGCGGCAGAAUGGAUUCUCUCUGCAGGUAAGGGGAGAAAAGGACAAGUUUGUCUUAAAGGGGCGAGACGGGGUGGACCGGCCAGAGGACAAAGACCAAGUGAAGAACUGAACGCAGGUUGUCACCGUCAUGUCCGACACUGGCCACAGCUUCAUCGACACCACCUGUUUACUGGACUCAAGCAGAGCGCUGAGUAUCGACCGCAACACUGAAACAAGGUUGAGAAUGGAUUUUACCUCCACCUUACCUUCAUCAGAGCAGGUUGGAAACAGCGAAAGCACUCCUCACUUUCAAGCACACUCAUUUUUUUUCUAUUCAUCCGAGUUUAUUUUGAAAGAGUUAAACAGUUCCUCUGUGUCAUAGAAUAUCUUUGCUCACAGAGGGCCGAGGGAUUUUACUUGAUUUCAAUGAUUUAAACCAACAAAGUGAAGGAUGACUUUGUUGUAGAGGAAAAACAUCUCCGUAAGAGGACAACAAACAAACGAGGUGUUUGCUAUUUUAUAAUAUCAAUAUGAAUACAUAAAUAAAAUGUAAAUCAUUGUACAGUACGGCAUGCAGCAAUGUAUUGUACAGGAUGCAUAUGUGUAAACUGUAUUCAUAUAAAUCAACACAGCACAGCAGGAAUCAAACACAUGUACAACAAACACAGUCAGAUCUGAUUACAUGUAAAAUGUGGUCACACUAAACUGAAAGGCGGUGGUGCCAGGAAGAAUUAUCAUUAUGUUACUAAUGGUACCUAAUUCACAUCCUUCAGUUUGAAAGCAGAUAGCUGAAAAAAAGAGAGUUAUCACGGUAAAAUAUAAAGUAACACAGAGUGCUCCAUUAACUCUUAAUGAAAGACUGACUCACUCACGCUGGUUAGAGCGUGUGGUUUUACCGGCAAUAUCACAGGAACAAAAUCAUUUUCAAAACAGUUUCUCAAAGUGUGUCUGCAGAAUGAGGAUGACACAUCCUCUGUGGUUUUUGGAAAGGAAAAGUCAGUGUUGUGUAAGCCACGGGAAAAGACUCGUGGUGAGGGAAAGAUAACAAACAACAAAGCAAAUGUGAGCAUUCAUUAAAAGCUUGGCCACCUAUUGUGUCAAAUUCUAUAUGUUCAGUUUUUGUUCCCCAAGAAGACGAGUAAAUAUUUGUGAGCACACACAAAGUCACUCCUUAAUCUACAAACAGGAAAUAACACAACUGUUUUGUUGAUCCACAAACUUAUUUGUAAAUACUGACACCCAAACAACAAGUACAUUUCUGUUUCACUGUUGCUCUAAUACAUUAUUCAGUGAUUUGGGUGAAUCUGGGUAUGUUUGAUUUGUUCGUGGUUUUCCCUCUGGUGCUCUCGGGCCGCUCUGGACAUUUAGCUUUACUUGUUGCUAAAGUGACUGCUAACAAACUUGCUGAUAACCAGCAGCUCCUCAAUGAAGCCUCUGGAGCGGGACCUCACAUGGCCUCUAAGAACCACGGCGGAGGAAAAUUAUAGUAUCGAGGCAAUUUUUAAAAAGUUUCCCGGUAAACUAUGCCAAAACAAAUAGCACUCCAUUAGCCACUUCAUUGGAACUUCAAAUGUCCCAGUGGGCCAUGUCAGUGGGUGAGCAUGCACGAUACCAAAGCCCUGGAAGAAGCUCAACUUCAUGGAAAGAACGCCAUCACUGAGGGAAGAAAAUUCAACUUGUGCUUUUCCUGCUUUGACAAGUCAGAAUGCCUGCCGUGUAAAGGGUUUAUCAUUUCAACAUUUACUGUCUUUAUACCCUUGAUUUGAGUCCACUGAAGCAGCAGCGUGACAGAGUGCCAGAAUGUACAAUACCAGGACCCUGGAACUAAAACAACUGAAACAAAUUUAGCCCUCGUUAUUUUUUUUUUUAACCCUCUUUCAAACUGUGCUUUUACUACAGUUUCAAAAUAUCAUCUUAGAAAAAAUGGCAGUGACUACUUUCCAUUUUUAGCGCUGUCCGGGAUUAUUUUACUUUGUGUUCUGACCUUGCAUGUUUCUCUGAGGAUAGUAGAAAAUGUUUAUUAAAAAAAAAAAGAAAGAAAACACACAGGUGC
Molecule: long non-coding RNA, 3388 nt
Organism: Acanthopagrus latus (yellowfin seabream)
Lineage: Eukaryota; Metazoa; Chordata; Actinopteri; Spariformes; Sparidae
Exons: 3
Source: RefSeq, a predicted model, not a curated record